UACUUAUUCAGAAAGGUGGAGGGAUAUGGCCCUGUGAAACCUUGACAACCUGCUGGCAUCGGAAGAUGGUGGUAAGGUGUCAACUCCAACUCCGGUAACACGGAGAAAGAUAAGUU
RNAcentral lists this non-coding RNA (116 nucleotides) under Bacteroidota bacterium. Its description in RNAcentral is "Bacteroidetes bacterium SAM-I sequence". It matches the Rfam family "SAM riboswitch aptamer (S box leader)". From Rfam's summary of the family: The SAM riboswitch is found upstream of a number of genes which code for proteins involved in methionine or cysteine biosynthesis in Gram-positive bacteria. The SAM riboswitch acts at the level of transcription termination control. Lineage: Bacteria; Pseudomonadati; Bacteroidota. The record is from RNAcentral.